CGAUCUGAUUGGGAGUCUACAGUCUACGGUCUACAGUCACCGUAGACAGUCACCGUAGACAUUUGCACUUCUGUAGACUCGACCUCUGCGAAUUCCCCAAAUGUGGGAAUCUCAACUGCAUAAUUUCUGUUAGUGGGGGACUGCGUUCGCGCUCUCCCCUG
This is a small nuclear RNA of Sebastes umbrosus (honeycomb rockfish), 161 nucleotides long. RefSeq annotates it as U1 spliceosomal RNA. The record is from RefSeq and is a predicted model, not a curated record. Lineage: Eukaryota; Metazoa; Chordata; Actinopteri; Perciformes; Sebastidae. The transcript has a single exon.